GUGCCAGCCGCCGCGGUAAUACGUAGGGGGCUAGCGUUGUCCGGAAUCAUUGGGCGUAAAGCGCGCGUAGGCGGCCCGGUAAGUCCGUUGUGAAAGUCGAAGGCUCAACCUUCGAAUGCCGAUGGAUACUGCCGGGCUCGAGUCCGGAAGAGGCGAGUGGAAUUCCUGGUGUAGCGGUGGAAUGCGCAGAUAUCAGGAGGAACACCAAUAGCGAAGGCAGCUCGCUGGGACGGUACUGACGCUAAGGCGCGAAAGCGUGGGGAGCGAACAGGAUUAGAUACCCGCGUAGUCC
This 292-nucleotide ribosomal RNA is filed under the name uncultured bacterium. RNAcentral's name for it is "partial 16S ribosomal RNA". It matches the Rfam family "Bacterial small subunit ribosomal RNA", at positions 505 to 796 of the family's 1533-position model. The record is from RNAcentral.